GUAGAGAAGGAAAGGGAAAGGGAAAGAGCGUUGUAUGCGUAUGUGUGCAUGCUAGUGUAUUUAUACGCGUGUGUGUGCAUUAUUCGUGCAUUGUGUGUCUGUGAGAGUGAGAAAAGCACCCCUCGUGCGAGCGAUGCCAAGCCAGCUGAUGUUUUCUACCGGCGCUGCCCUUGUUCAGUUACUCUUGGACCGUGCGUCCAAGAUAAAGCUCGAGCUACGACGAAUUUACCCGAGUUUCUUCGGCGCACGUAAACGGGACGUCCUUGACCUUUGCGAACGAGGUCAAUUUACCUAGAGGAAACUUUGAGCUAUCAAGAUGAUCCCGGAUUUAGAUAAUCCACAGUUUAUUUCUAUGACAAUGACAAGAGACAAGGAGUCAAGACAAUGGGAUAACACUUUGU
This 401-nucleotide long non-coding RNA is filed under the name Polistes fuscatus (common paper wasp). RNAcentral's name for it is "uncharacterized LOC122526454". The record is from RNAcentral. Lineage: Eukaryota; Metazoa; Arthropoda; Insecta; Hymenoptera; Vespidae.